UGGGGAAUAUUGCACAAUGGGGGAAACCCUGAUGCAGCGACGCCGCGUGAACGAAGAAGGUAUUCGUAUCGUAAAGUUCUGUCCUAUGGGAAGAUAAUGACAGUACCAUAGAAGAAAGCUCCGGCUAAAUACGUGCCAGCAGCCGCGGUAAUACGUAUGGAGCGAGCGUUGUCCGGAAUUAUUGGGCGUAAAGGGUACGCAGGCGGUUUAAUAAGUCGAAUGUUAAAGAUCGGGGCUCAACCCCGUAAAGCAUUGGAAACUGAUAAACUUGAGUAGUGGAGAGGAAAGUGGAAUUCCUAGUGUAGUGGUGAAAUACGUAGAUAUUAGGAGGAAUACCAGUAGCGGAGGCGACUUUCUGGACACAAACUGACGCUGAGGUACGAAAGCGUGGGGAGCAAACAGG
RNAcentral lists this ribosomal RNA (403 nucleotides) under bacterium. RNAcentral describes it as "partial 16S ribosomal RNA". It matches the Rfam family "Bacterial small subunit ribosomal RNA", at positions 355 to 776 of the family's 1533-position model. The record is from RNAcentral.